This 613-nucleotide ribosomal RNA is filed under the name uncultured Acidaminococcus sp. Its description in RNAcentral is "bacterial SSU rRNA". It matches the Rfam family "Bacterial small subunit ribosomal RNA", at positions 56 to 647 of the family's 1533-position model. Lineage: Bacteria; Bacillati; Bacillota; Negativicutes; Acidaminococcales; Acidaminococcaceae. The record is from RNAcentral.
UGGAAGUCGAACGGAGAAUUUAUUUCGGUAAAUUCUUAGUGGCGAACGGGUGAGUAACGCGUAGGCAACCUGCCCUUUGGAUGGGGACAACAUUCCGAAAGGAGUGCUAAUACCGAAUGUGAUCCAUUUCUCGCAUGAGAGAUGGAUGAAAGAUGGCCUCUAUUUAUAAGCUAUCGCCAAAGGAUGGGCCUGCGUCUGAUUAGUUAGUUGGUGGGGUAACGGCUCACCAAGACGAUGAUCAGUAGCCGGUCUGAGAGGAUGAACGGCCACAUUGGGACUGAGACACGGCCCAAACUCCUACGGGAGGCAGCAGUGGGGAAUCUUCCGCAAUGGACGAAAGUCUGACGGAGCAACGCCGCGUGAGUGAUGAAGGUUUUCGGACUGUAAAACUCUGUUGUCAGGGACGAAGGUGCGAUCUGCGAAUAGUUGAUCGUAUUGACGGUACCUGACGAGGAAGCCACGGCUAACUACGUGCCAGCAGCCGCGGUAAUACGUAGGUGGCAAGCGUUGUCCGGAAUUAUUGGGCGUAAAGAGCAUGUAGGUGGGCUUUUAAGUCCGAUGUGAAAAUGCGGGGCUCAACCCCGUAUGGCAUUGGAUACUGGAAGUCUUGAGU